CGAUAAAUAGCUCUGGCGGUAGAAAAGGGCAUCGGCCUAGAUUGGGAAGACCCGCAACAAGGCCGUAGCCCCUUCGCCGUCAGGCACGGCACUGGUCGCCGGCGCCGCCCACUUCGACUCUACGCCAUGGGACGGACGCGCCACGGGCAUCAGUCGGGGAAAAGCUUGCUGUGCUGCCCCCAAUCUCUCGUCCAUAUCCGGUUUCGAGGCGGAGGCCGAUUGGGAGGGGACGGAGGUGCUGCACCUCGCGGACAAAUCGAGGAACAGCGCCGAGAGUUAGGUAUGUCACAUGUGAUUGCAUUUCUGCUCUUUCAUAGCUCAGGUCCUCAGGCGCCAACUCGCAUACCAUGGCACAAUAAUGUCGUGUUAGUCCACAAAUUCCGGAGAUGCCAGGAUAAUUUGGUAGAACAAACGAGUACUUUGAUUUGAAUCCAUGGCCUAGCGAGAUAGAUUGGGGAAUAAAAGGCGGAAUUCUUAAGCGGCAGUGUGUAAACAGACCACUUGACCUAGGAUUGGCGUGGACUUAAUGUACGAGCACCGAUUAACCGACCACAAAGUUCUCAAAUGGAAGGAGAUGCUUCAUGCCUGAAAACUAUUGCCGGUAGUAAACGAGCAGUACUAGAAACAGAAAAUGAUACAAUUACUGAAUUCCACUCUACGGAUGAUCAAUGACGAUGCCGUUAAUCAAAUUACAAAACAUUAUCUAAGCCGAUGCAACAAUAACACAGUAGGCGUUCCCCUUUCACCGUCCAGAUAAGAGGCUCAUUUGUGACAUCCCAUUGGUAUGGCCAGACUGGAAGGAGCUCCCCUCGUUGCUUGCUCCUGAAAUCAUCAGCUGGAACUGCCUUGGAAUUUCACUAUCCAUGGAGUAGGUACGUCGAGGGGUCGCAGAAGCAGACUGCUUUUCACUUGAAACCGCUGGCAACAACCCUUUGAGCCUCGUGGCAACCACAGUCAUGGUUGGCCUGUCGAUGGCUGCGUUUUCCACGCAGUUCAUGGCAAGGUCCACCACACUCUGCAGGGAACUGGCAUCAUACUGAUCCAGCAGUCUCUUAUCUACAACAUCACGAAUGCUUCCCAUAGCUAUCUUUUGACGCACCCAAUUUGGUAGGUGGACGGUUUGAGGGUCCAUUAAUAGUGGGGGUUGUCCGGUGAUGAUCUCCAAGAGCACGAUGCCGAAGCUGUAAACGUCUGUCUUGACAGUGAUUUGGUAAGAUGCAUGGUACUCGGGGUCGAUGUACCCAGGAGUGCCAGCAGCAGCAGCAGUAGAUAUGUGCGUGUGAGCAUCGUUAAAAGCCCGCGAAAGCCCAAAAUCAGAUAUUAUUCCCACCAGAUUCUUGUCCAGAAGGAUGUUGGGGGUCUUGACAUCUCUGUGCACGAUUGACGGGGUGCAUAACUCAUGUAGAUACUCCAGUCCUGCAGUUUAUUCAAACCAACACACACAUACAUGACCUAGAAAAGAAGAAAACACACACAUACAUAAAUGGCCUAAAGGCAAACACACAACUGAAAUGCAGACCUUGUGCAGCAUCAAGUGCAAUAUGGAGUCGUUGUUCCCAAUUCAAACUAUAGUCACCUCCUGCACCAGUACAUACCAAAUUAAUGUGAGUUCCAUUUGAUUUGUUCAUGGUACUAGCAUAAAUAUCAAUUUCUAUAAUUUUUGCACAUAUCUAAGCUAACUAAUACAUGCACUUUGAUCUUCAAGAGAUAACUGCUUUUCCUACUCUCUACCGGAGCAUUUUUAUGUACAAAUCUAAUCAACGAGCGAACCAAGUUAUUGACAUAUUCUUUGAAUACAUACCUCUCUAGUUUCUGGUUUGUUGCUGGCUUUGAAAGAUGUACUUGUUUACAAUUUGUGGCUAUCAUGCUAUGUUUAGGACCUAUGACUAAGAAUGUAAAUGUGGCAGCCCCAAUUGUUUACCUGAUAUUUAUGAUCAUGCCAUGACUAUGACAUUAACAAUAUGCAGCUCUAUGAAUGCAGCUAUGGUGGCCGCAAUUGUUAGUACAGUAUGUAUACGGAGUAAAUUUGGUCUACGAACUCAACUAUAUUGAAUAGCAGCAGUAACACUUUAGUCAAUCAACUACACCUUUAACAUGGAAUUCGGUUUAACAUGAAAAUCCUGAUUGCCGUACAAUGUCAAAGCCAGAUUAGCUUGGUUUUAUAGUUUAUAUUUUUAUAUGAAGACUAGAUCAUGUCAAAUUAGUGAUAAUAAUUAACUGCAAGUCUAAGUCAGCUAUGCUUGAUAGGAACACUAAUAAAAGUUAAAGGGGAAAACCACCUCUUAAAAGCUGUUGAAGAUUUCCUCUGGGCAUGAAAUCAUAAACGAGUGCUAGGCAUUUCUUGUUUUGGCAAUAUCCUUGCAAAGUCACGAGAUUCUUGUGAUGAACUUUCGACAAGGUUUGCACCUGCGAUAAUUGAUAUAGUUACCAAACAUCCUAGACUUGAAGCCAGUUGCAUUAUUUUAUCGAAAUGGACUGUGGAAAUGGUUUUGUAUGUUUUGCAACCUUAAUUUUUUCUUGAAGAAAGUAAUGACGUGGCCUAGUUGGUUUUGUGUUAUACCUCGGGGAGGAAGUCUGUUGACUCUGCUAUUGAUUUCUCCAUAAGCACCUUAACAGCUACUUCAUCGUCAUUUUCCAGUGUGCCAUGAUAAACAGUACCAAAACCUCCUUUUCCAAUGAUUGAUUGGAAGUCGUUUGUUAUGUGCUUCAGUUCUGUGUAUGUGAACCGUCUGAUAUCAAUAUGUAGUGGAGUUUCCUCUUCAUACAUAGAAUCUUCAUCAUCUCCCGACUUCCCUACAGAGUCAAGAAGUUGUUUUUUACAUGGAAGUUUAGGUACGAAGCUGCUGUCUUCUGUCUACCACCUAUUGCAUUGAUGAAAGGGAAAUUUAGAGCAUAAAAUUUCGUUUUACCUUUCCAGUAUAACUUCCAGAGUAUGCCCAUCACUACUAGGAGGGAUACCAGUACCACAGGAACUAUCACUGCGAUAAGCAUGGUAGAUGUGGUGUUCUUCUUCUUUGAACAGUACGUAUCUUUUACGUUUGAGCAUACAGGAUUGCCUUCUAAUCUAGUAAUACAAUUAAAUAUCAUGCGUAAAAAAUAAGCUCAAAAGAUCUCAGCUUCUCUAUAAAGCUAUGAUUAAUUGAUUAUAAAACACCUCUAUAUUCUAACACAACUAACUUGCUAAUAGUGCUUCUAAACAUCUCUAUCCUCCGAAAGAACAAACUACAUGGUUUCUAAAUCAUGUGCAGUUACUAAUAGGUCAUUAUCUACCUCUUAUUUUGAAUGCCCAUAGAUGACAAAAGUAUUUAUAGUCACUAGAUGCUAGUACAUGUAAUUAAAGGCACAUUUGGAUCGAUGAAAUGCACAGGGAAGUGUGUCUCGAAGAUCUUUUUGUGGCACUCUGAUUGGCCACCACAAUUUGGUAAAAUUUACCAAAAGUUUAUGUAUAUGCCAAGUGGGGAUGCUCUGGCAUAGUGCUAGCAAAGUGUGGCACGCCACAAGUAUGCCAACUUUAUGCUGAGCCUACUCCUUUUAGGUGUAGUUUUUUAGUUUUAAGAAGAAAAAAACCAGUAAGGAAUUGUGCAAUGGAGCAUGGCAAAACCUUAAGUCCAGCAAUCCGGCCUGAAAUCUUUGAAGAAUAGAGUCAGAGAUUGGUCCAUCUAGCUUGUUAUUUGACAAGUCACUGAAAAAUAAUAGUAAAAAUCAUUCAUCUAAAAUUUAUACCAUCAACCACAAUUGUAAUCAGCACUACCAUCAACCACAGAUGUAAUCAGCAUGUAGACUUACAGAAAUUUAAGUGACUUCAAUUGAUAGUCUGGAAUAGCUCCCGUCAAAUUGUUGUGUGAUAAAUCCCUAUAUAUAUUUCGUUAUUAUGGUCACAAAAGAUGUCAAAAUAAUUUCAUUGAGCCCAUCAAUAUUAUGUGCUGGGCACCACUUACAAGUUUUCAAGCGAUGUCAUGUUCAUGAAUGAUAUGGCAAAUCCACCCCUCAGUCUGCUGGUAGACAGAUUUCUGCAAAACCAACUCAUUUGAAUACAAGUCAUCUUAAUCUAGUGAUAGCAUUGAGCUAACAUGGAUUUUGAAGAUUAUGUAAAUAUCUUUAUGUGCUUUAGGUCUACACUAAAUUACGUGUGCUUUCAGGUUUCAACUAAAUUACGUGUGUUUUCAAGAUCUUAGCCUAAGACACGUGGCUGAGUUUCUUCCUAGUGAUAUAUGUAUAAAAACAUGAACAUAUCUGGAGCAACAUGUAAACCAAAAGGAGCUUUUGCGGGAGCGUUAAAUUGCUUGGGGUUGAUGCAAUGCACUUCAAAGGUUUAGAAAGAUUGAAUUGGAAUGUUUAGAGACUUCAAAAUGUAUAUGAUAUCAGCCCUGGUUAUGCUCUUACACUGUGACAAUCCUUGGAUUCUGGUUGCUCUUAGAGUAGUCGCAAGUCAAACCUUCCCAAGAAUACUCUCUUGGGGAGCAUGGAUCUCCAUUCCAGUUUCUUUGUGCCAAAUUGUAGUGUGUCUUGACUUCUUUUAUGUACUUGUCUACAACCGCAAAAGACAAAGGAAACAAAUAUGUAUGGCUUAAAGUAGCUGUAUAAGUUGGUAUGGGGGGCUUACAUUAUAUUAUAAAAAAUGAAAAACAUUGCUUAAGAAGUUGCAAUAUCAUUGCAUAUAUAUUCAAGCAUUAUCUUAUCAUAGAACUGAUAAUUGUACUACUCAUUUAUCAACUAUGGUCUUCCCAUGGCACAUUGGCAUCAAUUGACCUUAAGAAGACGGCUUACUCAGGAGUUGAGUGUACAACUAAUCAGUUGGUUGAUAAACUUAAUCCUAUUACUCUAGUAAAGAUCGUGACAAUGUCAACUGGAGUUUGUUAAUCUUUAGGGGUCUAGACAGUGAGACCUCGGUCAUUAGCAUUGGCAACUGCAUGAUGAUCAUGUGAAUCUACCACAUAGAUGGCAAAUGUCUAAUGCAUGUGCUGUAUAUAAAUGGGCCAUUUGCAUUUCUGCCCCUAACUCGAACCACCUACUCAGAUUUGCCCCUAAUUUCAAAGCAUGCUCAAAUUUGCCCCUCUGCCGUUAAGUCACUACUCAGAAAUGCCCUUCCGUCCAGUCAAAGGCCUUUGACCGUCAAAGGCCCAUGUGUACUGUAGCAGACGGAAAGUGCUACAGUAUUGGACGGAAAGUGCUACAGUACUGUACGGAAGGGCAUUUCUGAGUAGUGACUUAACGGCGGAGGGGUAAAUUUGAGCAUGCUUCAAAAUUAGGGGCAAAUCUGAGUAGUGGGUUCGAGUUAGGGGCACAGAUGUAAAUGUCCCUAUAUAAAUUGAUCUUACCAUCGGCGGAGUCGGUGGUGAGAUUAUCCAUCCGGACGAGUGAGUACACCUCCAAAGCGUUGAUGAGCGGCGGUAGACUCGAGCUGGGUGUCUUGCUCAAGUUGAAGAAUGCAUCGGCGUGCAGGAACUCCCCGCUCUUGUACUUGCUGUCCAUCUGGAAUCGCAGCGGGGAGAAGUCUGGGAACAAUAAAUCUUCGGCGUUGUAGAUGUUGAACCUCCUGCUCAGGUUCCUCUCGUUGAUAUCGGCAAAGUGAAAGAUUGGGAGAAGCUGUAGGCUCUUGCCAUCUUGAUUGCGACCCGUUGCCACGAUGAUGCUCAUGUGGGAGUAGUUUGUGUCUAUGGUCAACGCCUUCUGGAAGAUGUCCGACGGCACGUUGAAGACGUUGUCGAGGCUCUUCACUUUAUUGUUCGUGUUCAGGUUGAUCCAGGGGUAGGAUGUAUCGGGCCACCUCUGCCAGAACCGGUCAUAAUUGUCCGUUGGAUAUCUUCAUCGCACACAAAGACAAGGAAAACAGAUAAAUAGAUAGCAGAGUACGCUAAUCUUUGGUUUUUACCUGAAGGCACUUAAUAUGGGAUCUAGCAAUCCCAACUUCUUAUCACCUUUCUCUCUCUAAAAAAAGGAACUUCUUAUCACCUUGAGGUUUACUAUUAAGUUUUGUUAGAAGUGAUUGCAGGAUUCAGAAAACAAAGGACCAAACAUUUUAAACGUGUUAAGCUAGCAAACUAAAUUAAAAUUGAGGCAUAUUUCAGAUAUAAUCCAAUAUUAUGUAUGGCAGCCUCAUCAGCGUCGAGUUGUCGACUCGUGGGCUGAUCCACAUUCAGGACAAGUAGUUGUUUUAGGUUGGUGUGUGGAUGGUCGUUGCGUAUGUAACGCGGUGAUUAUGGACGGGCUAUGUACCAUUGUACCCCUUCUCAUUUAAUAAGUACUUAUAUGAUAUGCAUGCUUAUGUGUAUCCUAGAAAAAGGACGAUAAUGCUUGUUGUAUACCUUGCCUGUCGCCUGAUAUGUUUGGUGUGUAGUGCAGGCCUUUUGGAUGGUCGUGUCGUGUACUCCCUCCGUCCAGAAAUACUUGUCAUCAAAAUGAAUAAAAGGGAAUGUAUCUAGACGUAUAUUAGUUCUAGAGACAUGUCUUUUUAUCCAUUUUGAUGACAAGUAUUUUCGGACGGAGGGAGUAUAUAUGCUGGAAUUGUGGAAGUUAAUUUGGGUCGUUCCUAGGUGCUGUAGGAGGGCACACUAGUUGUUGUGAGGGUGUUUUGUGCAUGAGGUUGUUGACUGAUCUGUUUAAACUAAUCUUUUUACCUUUCUGCACUUUGUUUUUAAUUUCCAGACUUGGAUGUGUUCCAUUAUUUUGAUAACUGUUCCAUUAUCGUUGAUUAUGGAACCCGAUACUUUUCGAGGAUCGUAUGGAAAAAAAAAUCAAUAAUUGAUCCAGAGCAGUGUUGCUUGCAUGGGGAAAAACAAGUAUGGCAGCAUCGUCUCACCUUGUGAUAGGGUCGGUGAUGUUGCCAAAUCUGAACCGUUGAAAGUAGCUGAUUGACACAGAAGUAUUGACGAAAGGGUACAUCGUAUCUUCUAGUGGCCUCAGCUCCAACGCAGAUAUGAAGGGAGUCCCUGAACCAAAGUUUAUCAGGCAGACGGACACGGCGUUGCUCGGAGCAACGGUGAUCACCUCCUUCCACACGGUGUCUGAUGGAUCCGUAUUUGUCAAGUUCACCGACUCCCAGAAAUUGACCCCGAUGUGGAGCCCAAACAGAAAUGGUGACCCGUCCAUAGUCUUGUUCAACCCGUCAUAAUUGCCGUAAGUGAACAAGGCCCUCAGUAGAUACUUCUUACCAAUGAUGGAUGCCAGUGUAUAGCAAUUCCUUGGGCCGUCAGGGAAGCUCCUCAAGGUUUUUUGUUGCUCAUUUGCUGCGCCAGCCAUGAACUCCUCCGAAAUUUCAUGGCUCAAACCGCCCUCGACAGAUUCACCAUCGAAACGGUACACUAUUCUGGUGGUGUUGUCGAUGUAGGCACUGCUGUUUGUCCAUCCACAAUCGAUGUUUACGAACCCUGAAAGACGGUGAGUAUGCAUCAGUUUCAUGUGCUUCAAGUUUAAGAUGCAUACUAAAUCAUUGAUCGCGACAUGUAUGGCUAGACAUGCAGUAGCUACUAAUCUGUUGAUUUCUGAGAUUUCAGUAAAGUGAGAUUUCUCAAGUUGCACGCUGAAGUAAACUGAACUGUGCGUGCAGAUGGAGUACUGGGCAAACGCUAGGAGGAUAUGGCAUGCAUUUACCAGCGGUAGGGGGCUGCGCUCGGACUUGAAUCAUCGUGGCCAGGAUGAGAAGCAGC
This 7646-nucleotide long non-coding RNA is filed under the name Triticum aestivum (bread wheat). RNAcentral's name for it is "long non-coding RNA (TAES_LNC027649)". The stretch from base 6362 to 6496 matches the Rfam family "MIR1120/MIR1122 microRNA precursor family". The record is from RNAcentral. Lineage: Eukaryota; Viridiplantae; Streptophyta; Magnoliopsida; Poales; Poaceae.